CGCCAAGUCCGGGACUCCGGUGUUCACCGGGGUCUGGUGCAAAAGGGA
Molecule: small RNA, 48 nt
Filed under: Streptomyces somaliensis DSM 40738
Lineage: Bacteria; Bacillati; Actinomycetota; Actinomycetes; Kitasatosporales; Streptomycetaceae
Description: raiA-hairpin RNA
Rfam family: raiA-hairpin RNA
Source: Rfam by way of RNAcentral